This 465-nucleotide ribosomal RNA is filed under the name Triticum aestivum (bread wheat). RNAcentral's name for it is "partial small subunit ribosomal RNA". Lineage: Eukaryota; Viridiplantae; Streptophyta; Magnoliopsida; Poales; Poaceae. The record is from RNAcentral.
AUGGCUACACGUCCCGUUUUCAGGAUUAUUCUGUCCACGACUUGGCUUUCACCUAGAUGGACAAGAGUUUGUUCUUUAGUGAGACGCCCAGCUGCAAGUUGUUGUUUGACCACUUGUGAGGUGUCUCAGAGGCACCAAAUGGAUGUUCAUAAUGUUGAUCUAUCUACAUAUCAUGUGGUACAUGGCCCAGAAAGAAGCAGUACGAUGGUUGGUCCAAAACUAAGCUCAUUCUUAGCAUUGGAUCACUGCCGAGAUUUCUUUCUCUUGACAAGCAGCAUCAUUGCUUACACCAGGAGUUCUUUAGCGGCGGCAAAGAGUCGAGGUGCAGCAAUACUGAUGCAUCAUGCAAUGCCAAGUGAACAAAUGGCGUCUCUCGGGAAAUUACGGGGACGGAUACGAGCACUACGUACCGGUGUCCUACUAUUAAGAAGUUAUAUUGUUGUUUCUCAUCAAGACAUUGUUUAA